This is a small nucleolar RNA of Cynocephalus volans (Philippine flying lemur), 212 nucleotides long. RefSeq annotates it as small nucleolar RNA U3. NCBI's taxonomy places the organism in Eukaryota, Metazoa, Chordata, Mammalia, Dermoptera, Cynocephalidae. The transcript has a single exon. The record is from RefSeq and is a predicted model, not a curated record.
AAGACUAUAUUUUCAGGGAUCAUUUUUAUAUUUCGUUACUAGAAAAGUUUCUCUGAACAUGGUAGAGCACUGAAAACCAUGAGGAGGAGGUGCAGCGCUUUCUCCUGAGUGUGAAGCUGGCUCUAGGUGUUGCUUCACUGCAGCUGCCAUUUGCCAUUGAUGGUCAUUCUUCUCUUCGUUCAGGAGAGUAAGAAGAAAAUGCAGUCUGAGUG